GACGAACGCUGGCGGCGUGCCUAAUACAUGCAAGUCGAACGCACUCUCGUUUAGAUUGAAGGAGCUUGCUCCUGAUUGAUAAACAUUUGAGUGAGUGGCGGACGGGUGAGUAACACGUGGGUAACCUGCCCUAAAGUGGGGGAUAACAUUUGGAAACAGAUGCUAAUACCGCAUAAAACCUAACACCGCAUGGUGUAGGGUUGAAAGAUGGUUUCGGCUAUCACUUUAGGAUGGACCCGCGGUGCAUUAGUUAGUUGGUGAGGUAAAGGCUCACCAAGACCGUGAUGCAUAGCCGACCUGAGAGGGUAAAUCGGCCACACUGGGACUGAGACACGGCCCAGACUCCUACGGGAGGCAGCAGUAGGGAAUCUUCCACAAUGGACGAAAGUCUGAUGGAGACAACGCCGCGUGAGUGAAGU
This 419-nucleotide ribosomal RNA is filed under the name uncultured bacterium. Its description in RNAcentral is "bacterial SSU rRNA". It matches the Rfam family "Bacterial small subunit ribosomal RNA", at positions 28 to 411 of the family's 1533-position model. The record is from RNAcentral.